GACGAACGCUGGCGGCGUGCCUAAUACAUGCAAGUAGAACGCACAGUUUAUACCGUAGCUUGCUACACCAUAGACUGUGAGUUGCGAACGGGUGAGUAACGCGUAGGUAACCUGCCUGGUAGCGGGGGAUAACUAUUGGAAACGAUAGCUAAUACCGCAUAAUAUUGAUUAUUGCAUGAUAAUUGAUUGAAAGAUGCUAUUGCAUCACUACCAGAUGGACCUGCGUUGUAUUAGCUAGUAGGUGUGGUAACGGCUCACCUAGGCGACGAUACGUAGCCGACCUGAGAGGGUGAUCGGCCACACUGGGACUGAGACACGGCCCAGACUCCUACGGGAGGCAGCAGUAGGGAAUCUUCGGCAAUGGACGAAAGUCUGACCGAGCAACGCCGCGUGAGUGAAGAAGGUUUUCGGAUCGUAAAGCUCUGUUGUAAGAGAAGAACGGGUGUGAGAGUGGAAAGUUCACACUGUGACGGUAGCUUACCAGAAAGGGACGGCUAACUACGUG
This 505-nucleotide ribosomal RNA is filed under the name uncultured bacterium. Its description in RNAcentral is "partial 16S ribosomal RNA". It matches the Rfam family "Bacterial small subunit ribosomal RNA", at positions 28 to 507 of the family's 1533-position model. The record is from RNAcentral.